CCAUUGAAUAGCUUAAGUGGUUAAAGCAGAGGGUUCACCCCCUCUUUCGCGGGUUCGAAUCCCGCUUCACAUGGU
RNAcentral lists this transfer RNA (75 nucleotides) under Clostridiales bacterium. Its description in RNAcentral is "tRNA-OTHER". The stretch from base 5 to 69 matches the Rfam family "tRNA". From Rfam's summary of the family: Transfer RNA (tRNA) molecules are approximately 80 nucleotides in length. Their secondary structure includes four short double-helical elements and three loops (D, anti-codon, and T loops). The record is from RNAcentral. Lineage: Bacteria; Bacillati; Bacillota; Clostridia; Eubacteriales.